Sorex fumeus (smoky shrew) is the source of this 135-nucleotide small nucleolar RNA. RefSeq annotates it as small nucleolar RNA SNORA70. The record is from RefSeq and is a predicted model, not a curated record. NCBI's taxonomy places the organism in Eukaryota, Metazoa, Chordata, Mammalia, Eulipotyphla, Soricidae. The transcript has a single exon.
CUGCAGUCAAUUCAGCCUAUGUGCUUUUUCUGGUGGGAGUUGGAUAUAUGGCAAUAACUGCAAAUAGUAUUCUCCAUGGGUAUGUUUGCAUCCUGUUGCUGGUUUGGGUGCUCCACAGGAACCUUGGAGAUAGUC